Gasterosteus aculeatus aculeatus (three-spined stickleback) is the source of this 35976-nucleotide long non-coding RNA. Lineage: Eukaryota; Metazoa; Chordata; Actinopteri; Perciformes; Gasterosteidae. The record is from Ensembl.
GGGAUUAUUUCUCCCAGGAUCCCUCGCCAUGAUGGCAUCGGUUUGUGCUCAUUAUUUCUCAAUUAGCUUUGUUGAAAUCUCAGAGCAUCAGCCGACCACCACUGAUGAUGAGCUACACUGCUGAUGUGAAUCGUAUUGAACUAAUUGGUGUCAGAACCACCAGUGACCUUUAACUCCUUAACUGCUCUGGAAGCAGAAAUAAGUCCGCAAGCACAAAGCCGUAUGGCCGCGCAAAGGAGUUAGCUUGCUGAUCCGGCAGUUUUUACUAUUGUUCUCUAUUUUAACAGUGUGUGUGUGUUUGUCUGUGCCGUUUUUUGUCUUUCCCUUCAUCUCAUUUAUGUUAAACAGAGCGAUCCCUCUCGAGCUGGGCUAAUGUGUGUUUUCUUUCCAUUAGGAAUGAGUCAUUGGGGAUGGAGCUUUUAGGCGUGGGGGGGGGGGGGGGUAGUCAUAGCAGUGAUUAUUGCUGUUAUUUGAUUACACAAAUGAGAGGCAUUCAUGAUUAGGGGAAGCAAAUUAUUUUAAAUUGCUCCGACUGAAGACUUUGUGUGCACUUCCAAAUGAGCGAUCAGAAAAUUAAAAUCCGUGCCGAUGUCAUAUAGUCAGGAUUGCAGUGAAUUCGUGUUUAACUCGAAGAAUCAACUUGCGCAAGUCAGAAGUGAAACUUCUCUUGACUUUGCGAUGACUUGUUGUCCAGAUGCUCCUGAAGCAUUCGCCUAAUUGCUUCUCAUUCAUCAUGACUUUUAAGUUUGCUGGAAAAGCAGAUGGCUUCUCACCUUGCUCAGCAAUUUGGCUUCAGCAGCAAAGUGACACGUCGGGAUGUGAUUCACUCUGAUUGCUAGUGAUUUCUUUCUUUAAAACUAUGUUGCCUGUAAACACUUUUCUUUUUUUGGGGCUGUAGCUCGCACAAAGAUUCAAAGUUAUAGAAUAAAGUGUGGCAGGGAAAGUUUUUCUGUUCUCCAUCAGCAUUGAUUGGAGUGAGCAGAGUGCAGUGAGUUGAGGUAAAUAUGCACAGACGUACUGAACACCCCCCUCUUCCACCACGUCCUCCACACUACAGAUUACCUCAGUGGUGGCUAGCGGGGCCCAGAUAAUUACCCUGGGUUAUUUCUCCUCCCACACUUUGCUUUUGAAGUCGUGGCUAUUUGCCCGCCUCGCCGCCUGGGCUCUAAUAGCAUCCCGGCAUGCCAUCGAUCCCACACCCCCUCCUCCGGAUAUGAACGGGCAGUGGAGCUGAUGGAGGGAACAGUCCAGGAGUCCGUACGCCUCUGCAGAUCUCCUAAAGCACAGGUUAAUUGAUAUUCUAGUAUGCCCAAUAAUGGAAACGGCGAAAAGCACAAAUUACUGUAAUAUGCACAUCAAACUGCACAUUGAGAUGGGCUCUUUGCGAGCGGGCAAAUUGAAAACUGGCACCUCGUCAAAUUCUGUGCAUCUACGGAUGCGAAAGUCAGCCUGUUUUUUUUACUGCAACAAAUUGAACCAGAUAAACCGGAUGAAUUCCUUUUGUCGAGCAUCCAGCAUGGCAGUUCAAAGGAUUCACAGUAGUACGGACCUUAAAGGAAAGUCCUUACCUCUCAGUUCUGUUGAGGAAAUGAGUGGCUUCUCUGCUCAGCUGUGUCAGGAGAGUCAAAACGCCAUAAUAGAUUGAGAUGUGCUGUGAUGUUUUAAUCCUCUGACAGCACGAACAUUUAUUCCAAUGCAGCAGCCUAGUUCACAUAAGAGCGGCAGGCAUAUAGUUUCUAACUACGUGUGUGUAUAAACACUUUACCCUAACGCUGUCCUCAGCUUUAUUAUCUGCUCAUUUUAUGUUUUUAAAGCUGAUACAUUUCUCAAAACUUCUGUCUGGAUUAUACCGCGUAAUAUACUGUGGGAGGACACGUUCAAAGCUUCUCCGGACAUUAAGUCCUAAAUGUUGCAAAACAUUAAACAGCCAGCUUGGUGAGACCUCUGCAGAGUGCUAAUUUGGCACAACUGUAAUAAAGCACUGCAGGAUCACUGAGGAAAUAUCCCGCCACGAGUUGAGGUGAUGCAGCGCAGCUGAGUUUAGAAACUACAACACAUGACUAACGGGUUCUAAAUAAGGCAAAGGGAUAUGCCACUUUCCCUGCGAGGGAAAAUCAUGUUCUACACGCCGAUCAGUUGAGGUAAAUACAUGGUCACUGGAGGGUGCAGAUGUGUGGAGGUCCGGAGGUGGGGCUCGCGCCCCCUGGUUUGGUGAGGGCCGGUCUCCGUCCAUGAUUUGUGUGGGACGAAUGGUCAUUAGGGAGAAUGUGAACAAAUUACAAAGUGAUUGAUUGAAUUAUCGCUGCAUGGAUGCCUUCUGUAAACCUAAGGCUGCCAGGCACACAGCAGCUUGAAGGGACGGUGAAAUCAGUGCUUCCCCAACAGUACUAGAACAUUUGCUCCUGAUCACUCUCUUAGAAAACUGGACAGAAGAACAGAAUAGACGGCAGGAAAUCAGCUCAUCAGCGCGACCGCUCUGCUGUUUCAUGCGUUUCACGACUGGCUCCGGCUAUUUGUAGAGACUUUAUUUGUGUUCCUGCUGACUAUUUCAGUCCACUGGCUCCUUUUAGAAUCUGUUUUACAAAAGAGGGGAUGAUCAAGCAUGUCAAAUGUGUAUCAUGUAGUCACGUGUAAGCGGCUCUAUUCAUCUCAUCAGUGCCUUUUACUCCUCCGUGCAGAGAAUACUCUUGGUACAAAGACACACGCGCAGACUUUGAGCACCAGCAGAAGAUCACAGGGACCUUAUCAACUGCUGUCACAACACAUUUAUCCCCCAUCUGUUUCUGGGAGCUGUCGUGAGCUAAAGGUUGCUCUCUGCUGCAAAGUGGAAAAGUGGGUUCCUCACUGCGUUUUUCAUUCUCUGUACUGGAGAGCGAGGGCAUGGGCCCCCCGGCCCUCGCUAUCUGUGGCCCCGUCCAAACGGGGACGAUAUCUGCCCGAAAAUAGCCCCGCUGUCAGCUUGCCUUAGUUGCCGGCCCCGCUGGGUCAGUUAAGGGGAUCAGUGCUCGCCCGAGUGUGUGUGUGUGGCUCCGCGGUAAGACGCGGUGCUGGUGACACAUUGCUUUGAUGGGAUCACCGACCGCUCCUAAUCCCCCCCCCCUCGACACAGAUGACCUCAGGGGCUCAUUGGACUCACCAGGCGUGACACCGGUCCCGCCUGGAUGUCAACAUCCGAUCCAGUUGAUCUUCAGCCCGUACACCACCAAUGGCUUGUAAACAAGGUCUCUGUACCCGAAAGGAGAGGCGCCUUUGGGAUUCGCGUCGGUUGUUACAUUUGUGGUUUCGUGGUGCGACGCAGAGUAUCGCUGUAGUGGCGACCGUACAGCGUUGACAUCGUUGUCCUGUUCUAAAUAUAAUGCAAGAUAAGUUUGGAUGCAUCCAAGCUGACUUAUUAUUUUUUCCUGUAAAGCCAAAGGAAAUAAAUAAAACGCUACUGCUGUUGUCACGCAUUUAGUUGGUUCCUAAAGAAGUAUUUGUUGGCCGUGCAGCUCGUUUGUUGGCCACAGAUCUGGCAUGCUAACGAAAGCACGAGCGCACCGCGUUUAGGAGGCCAUCUGGAAAGUCCUUCGCUGUGAUUAAAAGAAUUUCAGCCCGUUGCAUUUUGACUUUUUAAUGAACUGUGCAGCCUGCGGAUGUUUGCUGUGUGUCGUGGGGGCUGCGUAUGUGUGUCGGUACGGGUUUGUGUGGCUGACUGUCAAGGCUGCGAACUGUUCACUCUCUGUUUGUGAUGACUUGGCAGCAAAGGAAAGGUCAAGGAAGACAGAACUGCCAAAUGUGCGAGUUUAGCAGUAGUCAAUCCCGGCCUUCUCUGCAUGGAAUUUUUAUAGAGUUUUAUAUGUUGCCAGAAAAUAUGUUUUAAUCUUCUCAUUGCUGGCAAUAGCGCAAUACGUGGCUCUUAAAGUCCUAAAUCUGUUAUGCACAACAUGUUGAAUAGGCUAUUGUUUGUGGGGGGGGGUUACAGAAACAUUAAAUGGAGCUUUACAAUUUCUUUUUUUUUAAAGGGAGUUUGAAUGUCAGUUGAUUUCUUUGCUAACUCGUAUAGUAUGUGGCAUGUUUUUGUGGUCAUUCUGCAUCUCAAAAGGUACAGCACCAGUCAGAAUUCAAUGAGAAAGUGUGUCCAAACCUUUGACUGGUACUGGAGCAUGUGGAAGUACGCCGGACCGUUACCUCCAAACACGUCCUCCUCUGUCCUAAAAGAGUAAAUCCUGUCUCCUUGGAGCGACCUUGCAAACUCGAUGCAGAACAACUGAACCGAUCCUCUUAAUAUUUGACCAGCACUUUUGCAGAGUCUUGUGUAUUGAUCAGGUACACAAAGAAAAACAAACAAGGGCUAUUAAAAACAGCAGCUCAUGUUCAACAUUGAUUGAACUUAUCGAACUUGUAAAUAAUAUGUGUAACUAAGGUUGUCUUCCCCUUUUAAAAGCAAUGAACACGAGGAAGCAUUUCUUUUAUUCAGGUGAGCAACUUUCAAACUGCAAAUACAGUUGAAAAGCAGGAAAACUCAGAAUUAGACACUAGCUAAUACCAUUUUAUUUACUUGCAUAUGCGAAUGAUCUAUUUACUCUAUAUGUAAUAAACACUCCUACUUUUCGCUUCAAACUACUGCCUGUGUCAGUAUAGUUUUACUUUAAAGAAGAUACUACUACAGACAAGACUGUAUUGUCUUUUUUCAGAUGAUAGUAUUUCACAGUAUCUUUUAGGCCAUCUCUGAGACAAGAGCGUUCACAUGCAGGAUGACCUGCGCUCCUCUCCGCCGGCUCUGACAGAUGCUACUCUGUUUAGUGGUGACACAUAUUUCCAUUAGGACAAUCUGUUUCUACUUGGAAAUGUCAUUUUAUUAUUAUAAUUAAGCCCUCAGCAUCAAUAUUUUCCAGUGUUUGUAUGAGUCUUGGCUUGCAGUCCUCAUGACAUCUUGAGGAAGCAAAAGGGAAAAUGCGUUCCCCCCCAAGCCGUCUUUUAGCUGCUUUACCAUUUUGUUGAAAAUGGAUAAACACUUCUUUAUUUUCACCCAAAUAUAAGAAAAACAAAUGGAAAAACGAAAAAAUAUAAAACUGCCUAAUAUUCGUUUGUAUAGUGAUGUGUUCAAAACAAUGAUCCAAUCAAGGGGAAUAAUCUUCAAAAUAACAAUUCUGUGUUGAAUUGUGUGCCGUUUGCUAAAAAAAGAUGCAAAGAUGUUUUAGAUUUUAAUCACCCCAAAAUGAAUAGUUGUUUAUAGUGUGAUUUUAAAAUGGAAUUAUUCCAUACCAGACAGUGAGCCUUAAUUCAUUACAGUGUUUCCCCUUCCAUUAUAACAGGGGGGUGUCCUUCCACCCCGAAAUACCCUCCCAACCCCCUAAAAAGGUUAGGGCUGUCAAUAGAUUAAACAAAUGAACUAAUUAAUCCCACAUUUUUAAAUGAAUUAAUCGCAAUUAAUGAAUGUUGUUUUUGACGUUGUUACAAUGCUGUUGUUAAUUAACGUUGGUUUUCCUUCCAAAGACUAAAUCUUACAAGUAAUGAGUAAUCACUUUAGAAAGUGUGUAUUUUAGACACUGUUGUUUAAUUGUUAAUGUUAUUUUACGACACAACACAAAACUACACACAUUUGAUCAUCUUGGAGGCAGAAUUUCACCUGGUGGAACAUGUUGAACUAGCGACUCUUCCUGUUGCACUUUGCUCUCAACUCUCCAUCAUUUGACGGCUGUGCUUGAAGUGCCAGUUAUCCCCCCACAUUUAGCAGGACGUUUUCAAACCACGGCCUUUUAGGGACACAGUCGCUGUCCUCCUCAGAUGUUAGAUGUUACGUGUGUCCCCCAUGACAUUUUUGGCCAUAUGUGAAAAUGAUUUAGUGUUUAGUUUGUGUGUCUAGUUUUGAGAUUUGGCAGCACCAGUACAUUUAUCAGGAUGAAAACCAAAAAGCAAACAAACCCACCUUGACGAGACUCUGGAGGAUAUAUUUAAAUUACCUCAUUUUAACCUCUGGCCCCUGUUUCCCUCCCCACCAGAUGUGUAACCUUUUUUUCUAUUUUUUUAAUAAAUAAAAUAAAGGGUUUCCAUAUCUCAUAAACCCUGCAUGCACAGUGGGGAGUCUUGUUUCUAAUAUCACACAAGUUCAAACACACCACUGGGGUCCAGGCCAAGCGAGGCACAUCUGUUGAGGUUUAAAGUAAAGAGCUGAACAACUUGGUGCUGGCUGGCUGGCUGCAUGGCUCACAGGGGCAUCAUUAGCUCUGUGAUAAUAAGAGCAAACACCUCUAUUAUGUUCCCUGGGGCAUGUAAUAUAUAUGUUCACACCUGGUUAGACUGUGUGACAAUCCCCAUUAGGCUCAGCAGUUGGGCCACGCCUUCCCACUCAUUAACGCCACAGAUGGAGAUAUAAGGCAGUAGUAGAUAAUGGUCAAAUACUGCACUGGCUUUUAACUGAACGAGGAAGUAAAAUGGCGAGCCGGCCAAUGCGUCACACUGUGCCGCGCCGCGGUUGUGUCACGAGGAGGGUUCUGUUUUAAAAGCUGUUAGCAAGGCUUAGCUGUCUGCGAGCACACGGGUCAGCCGGCUGAGCCCUGUGAUGGUGUGUAAAUGAAACGGUAAUAGAGGGUUUCAUCACCGCUGCUAAUUACUGAAUGACAGUUCUCUCAACUCUGUGUAUGUGUGUGUGUGUGUGUGUGUGUGUGUGUGUGUGUGUGUGUGUGUGUGUGUGUGUGUGUGUGUGUGUGUGUGUGUGUGUGUGUGUGUGUGUGUGUGUGCAUGUCCGUGCCUGUGUGCAAUAGGCCUAAUUAGAUAAACUCUCAUUACUUAAAAGUGCAUUACUGAUGCUCUUUUGUAAAGGCUAUAAUUAGGGUGCUGCGCAGAGUGAGUGGUAAUUAAGUUAUUUCUCAAGUAUUAUUAGUUCGUUUUUUAUGAGCCAAUUGUAUUUGAAGGGAUGGAAUGCUUUUUUUAAAUUCAUGCUUUGUUCAUUUAAAGAACUAUUACACAGGGAGAGUCUUUGGCAGUAUUUAUAUCGUCUGCUUCUCGAGGGAUUUUCUGUCUGAUAGAAUUUACGCAGCACAAUGGCAGAUAUCCCCAACAAAAGCGAGCAACAUACACGCACGUGAUUAUGCUCACACAUUCCUUGUCUUGGGCUCUCAGCCUGACUUGGCAUUUUUGACCACGUGUCAUCUGAUCCCUGCACAGCAGCAUCCGUAGCCGUGUGAGCCACAGAUCAUCUGACUGCUGCUGAUCCCGAUAACUCUCUCUUCUUCCUGCCAUCAAGUGCAUUAUUCCUCUGCAGUUUUCAAGCAGCCUCUCGCCUUUAACGUCCACUACCUUUCUUCCUUUAAGCACUGAUUACUGACUAGUGGAACUAUCAGUAGAAAGAGGUCUUGCCAACCCAUGAUUCACCCACGCCGGGGUUUUGAUUUCCCGUGUUUUACCUCAUUUGACGUGUACUCGCUAAACAUCGGUCUCUCGUAGGUUUAAUUGUACAAUUAUAUUAUUAUUAGUCACAUGUUGGGUGACAUUGUUGUAGACUAAUAACCACAUAAAAAAACCUUUCGAGAUGUGUUCUUAAUGGCACUAUUUGUCUCCUCACUUAGCACGUGCUUUGUCUAUAAUUACCCCUCUCCAGUGUCCUUGCACCGGCAGACUUGAGUAACACUUGAGAUGCUGUUAAUCACUGUCCUGGGAGAUCUUGACACGCCUUGAAGCGAAAGCUAGGACACUGGGUCACUGGCACAUUUUCACAGGGCUGGCAAAUCCCAUCGGGAGGAUGCUGCGAUGGAUUGAGAGCACUGACUGUUGUGCCGGGGGAGCAGGAGCAGAUCGACUUUUGACAAUCUCCUGAAUGGGCCUGUUUUUACAGGAUAAGUCUUUGUUGCACGCUUCUGCUCUGUGGCUACUCCCAUUUAUGUAAUGUGGAACGUCGCCAAAGGCACAAGGGUCAUAUCAAAGGAGAUACCCAAAGCUCAGUUAUUGGUAUUGCGCUGGAUGUGAGUCUGUGAGAGUCACCAAGGCUAAAUGUGGUCCCAAUGACAUCUAGCUUAGCAGGAACCAACACGGUACUUUUGCAUUUCUGGACGCAGUUUGUCCCAUUGAUGUUGGCGCAAUCGUUCAAGACUUCUCCGUCAUGCGGGCGGAGAGCCCAUUGCAAGAUAAUUCAAUUCAAUUCAUUUUAUUUUGUAUAGCCCAAAAUCACAAAUUACAAAUUUGCCUCAGAGGGCUUUACAGUCUGUACACAUACAACAUCCUCUGUCCCGAAACCCACCAUCGGCACAGGAAAAACUAAAAAAAAAAGAAAAACCCUUCCAAGAGGGAAAAAGGGGAAGAAACCUUAGGGAGAACGUCAGAGGAGGGAUCCCACUCCCGGGAUGGACAGACUACAAUGGAUGCCAUGUGUACAGAAUGAACAAUGUAUAGUACAUGCAAUUCCUAUGACAGAAAUGAUUCAAGUAACUGUGAGUAAUAAGCCAGGCGCACAGUAGGACCACUGCAGGGGCAACCACCAUCAGAUAGAACCACCAUCACAUAGAACCACCAUCAGAUAGAACCACCAUCACAUAGAACCACCAUCAGAUAGAACCACCAUCACAUAGAACCACCAUCAGAUAGAACCACCAUCACAUAGAACCACCAUCAGAUAGAACCACCAUCCACAGAAGACUGUGGGGAGGGAGAGCACAGAGACUUUAGGAGAGGGUAAUGUUGGUUUACGAGUACAGUAAUAUGAUUAAUAUCUAAAAUAAUAAUGAUGAUGAUGAUGAUGAUGAUGAUGAUGGCAGCAGCAGGCGUCAGCAGGGCCACGGCAGGUGUCAGGACCAGGGUACGAAGUGUGCAUUAAUAAAACGUGAAUUAUUGUAGAACGAGAGCGUGAGAGAGGAGCUCGGUGUGUCCUAAGAAGUCCCCCGGCAGUCUAAGCCUAUAGCAGCUUAACUAAGGGCUGGUCCGGGCUAACCUGAGCCAGCCCUAACUGUAGGCAGAAUCAAAGAAUAAAGGUUUUAAGUUUUACUUUAAAAGAGCUGACCAAAUCUGCCCCCCGGACUGAAAGUGGAACCUGGUUCCACAAAAGAGGAGCUUGAUAACUGAAGGCUCUGGCCCCCAGCCUACUUUUUAAAACCAUAGGAACAACAAGCAUCUAUGGAGCGCAGCUGCCUUGUAGGGCAAUAAGGUGUUACAAGCUCUUUAAGAUACGACGGUGCCUCACCAGCAAGUGCCUUGUAGGUGAGGAGAAGUACCUUAAAAUCUAUUCUUGAUUUACAGUCGAUAAGUCUCUAGCGAUAAUCCCAUGAAACAACCCCAGGUCGUAUUGAUUAGCACUUUUUUAGGAGUGAAGACAUUCACAUAGCUGUGAAACAUGAGCUGGUGUGAUGGUAUAUUUGGUCUUUACCUCUCUUUCUCUCUCUGUCUGUGUCUCAUUAUUUCACAUAACACAAACGGAUAAAUCCAGAUGUAAGUAAGUUUUCAUGUGAAACAGGUCUUAUAAGAAUAGCUUCUGCUAAAUGUUUGCUUAAAUAGCAAUGAUCAUUUUCCCCCUCAACAUCGUUUAUCAUCAGUUAACUACCUGACAUUACCAAAGGCCAAAAACACAACUUGCAUGUUUGCUUAAUUAGAGUGAAACUGAGACAAGCAGUCUAGAUUUUUUUAAUAACCAUUUCACUUCAAUCAGGCCACAAUAUUUUCCUACUAAUUUCCUUGAGGGAUUUAAUUAAAAUUUCUCCUUCUCAUAGUUAAUAUUCUUGAUUAAACAAAUGUUAAUACGAAAUUAUACUUACUUACACACUAACACCAUAAACAAGAGUAAAAUAUGAUGGUCGGGAGUCAACGCCUCUCUCGUAUCUCUAUUUAUUAGAUCUCCAGCAUUAAAUGCCUGUAAGCGGUGCCAAUAAAAAAAUCAGUUAAUAUCUUAUUUGGCAUUUAAACAGUGUCAAUGUUCUAUAUUUGUAGGCAAUGUUCAGCGCAAUGUAAACGUUCAACGACCCACAGGACUCGAUGAGUGACGGCCGGCACAUAGACUGCGCCACAUUAUCUUAGUGCACAGAUAUCAGAUUGAGAAAAAAAAAGGAGGGAGAGAAAUGACUAUUUUCCUCAGACGUGGGACACAGAAUGAAUGUCGUGCCCAGGGUUCGCAAAUCUCAUUUACAAAUUUCUGGCGGGGAAAUAUCCCUCCGCUCAGUGUCUCCUCUCUUUCCCCGCCUCCCAUUUCAAUAAAAAUGGAGGUUCUCAUUUAGCAGAACUGUGGCCCUGGAGGCCGUGUUACAGAAACACAUGUAACACACACACACACACACACUGCAUGCAAACCUAAUGAAUCCCAGCCUCCACUGCACUGGUCUCUAUCUUGAUUUGUCAGAACAUGCAUUUCAAAUCUUACUUUCUGUAAAGGUCCAUUUCUUUCCUUUUUAUUUAAACCUGUGGUGCAUCCUGUUUUAUGUUUUUAUAAAGUUUUAAAAUAUAACAAAUACUGAAGGAAAUGUGACCUAAAUUAUUUGUUUUUUUAUUUUACAAACUAGCUUAUUAAGUUCUGAAAGUGAGUGCCGUCUCACUUUCUGUGUUUCUGUGGUUUUUCGUGUCUUUAGUGUGCACAUCUGUUCACCGGAGAAACUAUCUUCCUCCACUUGGCUGGCUCCCGACAUUCCUCGCUCUUUCUUACUUUGGUUGAUUGUUGUUGCAGAAUGAAAGGAGCGUUUUGAGAGGUGAUCACAGACAUUCUCCCUGGAGGAAGCUUAAGGAGAAAAGUGAGCCUAUUUUCAGCGCCGCAGCACUGGAGAGUGGGACUCAUUAUGACUCACUCAGGGCUGAAAUGCUGUGGAUGAUGUCUGAGUCAGACGCCAGGGCCAGUGUCCGCUGCCAUGGUGAUGCACAGCCAAAUGUAACUGAACUCAGAAAGCGAUAGAGAUGGAAAUGAAAUGAGGGAAGCUUAAAAGAGCCCCGAGGCGGCUUCACCAUUGUCAUGAUAAAAUUCCCAGAGUAAAAACUGGCAAGCUGUAUAGGGCUCCUGAAUGUAGGCUGAUAACACAGAGAUGCUCUAAUACUGCAGAGUGCACCAGCUUUGUGCAGAGUUUCUGAUAUUGAAGAAACAUUGAGGCCGAGCAAAGCAAAUUCAGUGACGAUUCCAAAAUAAUACAAUUUUCUCACUUUCUUCCUCAAGAUUUCUUUGGGGAAAUCUUCUGUAUCAUAUAAAAAAUAUUCCUUUUAUUAAGCCAACAUGUAACAAAAUGUGAAAGGCAUUCGACUCAAACACAGCCGAGGGUUUGUUCGCUGAUUAGAAAGGGAACUUAAUAUGCAGCUAGAUAUAGAAGAACACACUUAUUCGACCCAUGCAUUCAUCAUUUCAUAAGUGUCUCUUUGUGAAAACUGAUUCUAGUUCAAUCUUCAUUGCCUCGUCGAACAGAAAGCUUUCUGUAACACAAGUCGGGCUCAUCGCAGGCAAUGUUUUCUUACUUUGAUAAAGUAUAUUAAAGGAGAAGCAAUACGUCUACUUAUUUUGACUUCAGAGAACCCCCCCCCCCCAAAAAAAAAGUCAAGUGUGCAUUGCAGGCUUCCACAAUCACAAGCCUCUCACUCAGUGAUUGUGACUCGGGGCCCCUACGGCUCAAACCCACUAUGGCUGGUAGAUUAGGGGGAAAAGCUGCACAGGCGCUGCCAGACAUGCAGGUGCAACGAAAAAGGAGCUUAAUAUCUUGAAAUGAGAGCAUAUGAAGAAGAAUGAAGGCCUUAAUGAAGUACUGCAUGGCUCAGAACACUUGGCUGGUGUAUUGAGUUAAAAAUAUAAAAGUGUCCGGAAAUGCAGUAAGCUGCAUCGGUGUGAACACGAGUGUGUGUACUUUGCCGCGCACUGUACGGCCGGCAGCAGAGGACCGUGAUGUAAGGGCCGAGCCGUGUAACCGGCCAGCAGUCAUUAAUCCGAUGUGCGUGGCUCAGCCCGGCAGGUUGGCCUCGAGCCAGCGAAGGCAGGAGACGGUCACAUGGAGGCGCCCAUCACUGCCAACUAGCACGGAAAACGUUCUCUACCUCAAAGAACUACACACAAUAACACAACAUUUUUGACACAACCAGUUAUAUAAAACAAAAUCAAAAUAUAAUCUUUUUACCUAAACUAACAUCAAAAGCAAGUAAUUAAAAAACAUGUGAAGUGUGAAAAAUCAUCUAAUUGGUAAAAUGUUCAGUAAAUGUACCCACUGGCAUUUCUUUAUAAAUAUCUGCCAAUGCAUCGAGUGAUGCUAAAAGAGCUGUGUUAAGCCUAUAUCUGCACACACACACACAACUGGACACGCACACACCCCUCCCUGCCAGUCAGGCUGCCAGAGGGCAGCGCUGUGACCUGAGAGCCUGUGACAGACAGCAGGCACGCAGCGCUGACGGUGCUGAGGUGGAAGUGGAGCUGUGCUCCAACCAAAAUGUGUCAUUCACUACCUCAGCCCACUCGGAUUAUCGCACUGCUUGAAAACGUGCAGAAAACUCUGAAAACGUACCUCAGAUACUGUGUGUAAUCUCGCCGAUUUAUUACGUGGUCCAUUCAUUUUGUUGGCAUGCUUGACAAGUUGUCUGUUAUGAUGUCAUCAUGUCCCCUGAAGAAUAACAGUUACAUUGUGUCAUGUCAAACAAAAUGUAAUUCAUUGAAAUGGAAGCUGUUGUUGUUUUUGCUGGUGUGUUUGAUUGGCCAGUCGCAGUGCGGCCAGUCAUGUGACGUCAUGUUGCGGCACAUUUUAUUCCACACGGUCUCGUCUCUGUUGAUGACGUCUCGCUCGUGAAUGCAGUGCUUUUUGACUUCGGCGGUGUUGAUCUUUGCACAAUUUGUGCACUUUUUUAAUAACUCGGGGGCAUGUUGUUCAGGCCGUGGUUACGGGGCGCCUUCAGCAGCAUCACUUACAGGGGUUUAAAUAGAAAUACCACUGUAUUCACUGGAUGGUAGAAACCCGAGUAAAUAGUAAGGCAGUCUUUACAAGACUGAAAAAGUAAAUGUUAAAUAAUAGGAGUUUAAGUGUAAUAUGUGUAAACCAGCUUUUCAGAUGUAUUCUGUUGUAUAAAAUAUCCUUUUUCUCAUCAGCGCUGCCCAAAGACGACAGCUCUAGCAUAAACAGAGGAAAAUUAGGAAAACUCUAGACACGUUUCCAAUAACACCUCCCUGACCGGGAUGCGGUUCUUCAUCUUCACCACUGACAUUAACGUCAUUAUCCUGCUGGUCGAAGCGUCUCUUUUGCAAAGUGAGCGUUGGCUCUGUGACGGCUUUUCACUCUGCAUUUCAUCCUGCACGUUCCCCACCUCUCAAAGAAUGUUCACAUCUCAAAAUCAGGAGAUCGCUUUCUUGUGAUUAAUUUUAUUCAGAGUAAAUCACGUGCGAGUACCUAGUUGUGUGUGCGUGUGUGUGGGUGUGUGUGUGCGUGUAUGUGUCAACAGGCUUUGGUGGCCUGUUGAACCACUUAAAGGAUUCUAUUUAACGGGUCAGCCGAGCAAUUAAUCAAGGGUUUAAUUGGAAUACCGAGUGGAGUGACAUGAUUUAUGCAAAUAAGGUCAUUAAUAUGCAGGCCUGCAUUCAACGCCUAAAUUAAAAUGGCUCAUCCGCCAGCGCAGGCUAGUACUUUCAUUACGGUAAAUUAAAGCGUGAUAAUAACUCCAAAUACACAUAUUUGUUUUCCCACAGACAUUCCGAACGGAACAUGCCCACAGGAAGGAAAAUAUGAAAAGGCAGAAAGAAGGAAGGUCUUAAAUGGGAGACAGUCAGGAAGAGGCAACGUUAAUGGUGUUAAUUCUACCUCAUUAGAAGCAGACUGCUAUCUGCAGGCCUUCGGUUUUAAUUGGAUCACCAAGCAAUUUAAACCACAUUUGGCUCUUAAUUGCUUUUUCUGCACUUUGUUAUAAAAAAAAGAAGUACAGCAGCAAUAGUUUGCUCCUCACCAAAUCCUUACGCCUGGCCAAUGCAGCGCCGUGAUACCAGUGUCUGACCUUUGCCGUUGCCCUUGGUAACCAACCCCGCGGGAACAGUUUGUGAUGGUCGCUCCCAAGUGUCCGGUGCACUCACCCUCACUGUGUGCUGCUGAUGUCAGAGUCUCAUUCCCCUGCAAUUUAGUUUGUCGCAGUACGACUGCUCGUCUGGACAUUUAAUUGCACGCUCGGCAUCUGAGAUCAGUAAGUAAAAUCCACCAGUAGCCUUCUCGCUGUGGGGGUGUGCGGUAGUUGUUGGUUUUGAGCUGUGCUGUGCACCAGACCUAUAGAGGUUUAUCUCAGUAUCCCUAUAUCGCUACUUUUGUUUUUACUAGGCGCCUUCAACUACCCACCUCUUGCAAAAAUGAUUUUAAGUAGAACUUAAUAAGUAGUUAAUAGUGGGAGCCAAAUCUGUCCCUCGGGGGCCAUAUUAUUUGGUUUAUCCUCCCAAACAUGUUUAGUUUUGGAUUGACCAAAGCUGUAUGUAUGAGAUAUCCUUUUAAAACCCAAUCUAAAUCCCUCUAAAAGGAAAUCCUUGCAAGGGCGUGGUGCUGAAACCAAGUCCAAAAAGCUUAUGACUAACAGACUAAUCAUAAAACCACUCAAACCAAAAAUGUGAUUUUAUUUAAAUUACCGUUUUUAUUCCACACCAGUAUUCAAUCAAGAGAUUUGGUUUUUCAGAAAAGAAACACGGCUUCGUGAGGUUAUGAAUGUUGAUUCGGCACACAACGGACCAAACGGACAAUCACAGGAACAGAAAUUCACCUCCGGAUUUAAGGAAGGAGCAUGUAUCAGAGGCUUUGAGAGGGACAUCUGAAUUUGAUGUAGCUACAUAAUGCAGCUCCACGGUACACACUUGGCCGUAAGCAUUGCUUCAUUAAAUAAUAUCACCAUCCUCAAAGCUCUUCUAGAACACCUCGCGCAAUCCGUGUCAUUCCCAGCAUGAAGGGCAACAAGUACAAAGCCAGUUUUCAGCCGACAGCAGCACUUAUCGGCUGUGGUGCAGAUGCUAAUGUGUCACCGAGUGGAGAGAAGCGAAUGGACCGUUAAAGCAACCUUGUUGCUAAUGCUCGCUGUCGGCACAGAUAGCGUUAAUUGAAACUCCUUGCUGCUGUUUGUUUGUUUGUGCGCUUGGUGGUUGCCUUGCUCGCUGCACUGCGCGUAAGGAAGCUUUUCCAGCUUUUUAAUGGAGCACGACGGGGAGUGUCGGACAGCUGGUGCAUGUGGAGCAAAAUGGGUUGCAACUAGCAAAGGGACGGACUUGGAACAUGCUGGAACGGAUUGAUCUAUUUGUUCAAAAGUAAAUAUCUUUGGUCUGCCCUGAUCGCAUUGGGACAUACUGUUGUGGGGUAUAAAUGCCACAAUUUAGUUUGAUCUUAUACAUUGGCUGUUGGCUGUGUUUUGGGAUGUUAUGCGCGCGCACACACACACACACACACACACGGACACCUCUUGUCCUUUUGUGUGCCAGAGCUCGCUGGCUGCGUGGUGUUUUCUGUAAUUAAAGCAGUAAGCAGGGAGUUGUCUUUUUGUGUGGCAGAUGGUCCAGCACCAUGCUGCAUCAGGUAACCGUGACAACCACCUCCCUCCAUGCAGCUAACAGCACCAUCACGGCUCUUUACAGUGACCAAAUGCCAUUAUGCAGUCUGCGGAGAGGGCAGAGAGCGAGGGAGGCUGAAGGAGAGGAGGGUGUAGUGGGAAUGAUGGAGUGGAUCCUCCACCCUCUCAGCUCUCUUGGUACAGACGGGAGGCGGCUCUUGUCACGAUGCUCGGGCCUUCUUAUCAGACAAACACAGGCGGAAGGCAGCAAAUAGUGACACCCCCCCACUUUAUUCCACCUGUUACAGUAACUUGUUGAGUUCAAUUCCACCGACGUCAUAUGUAAGAUAUACAUUGUGGAAAAUGUGAUUACAUCUUCUUUUUGGUGGGGAUGGGGGGGUUUUAUAUUAAUAAAACCCCUUUUGGCCCUUCUCGUGUAUCCGGUUCCUCGUCAUCGCGCCUUGGCCCCUCAGAAAGCCGUUUUGGAUUCAUCGGCCAAUUUCCCACAUCAUUGCUAAUGGGACGCCUCAGAGACGACGAGCGGUGCCGUUAUCUCCUCUCGGCCCGAGUCGCACUACCCGAUUCUGAGGUGGAGCUGCAGUUCUAAACGACCCAAGCAUUCCUUAAAAUUGAAGAACACUGACUCUCUGUCCAUCCGGUGAGAUGUGACGUCAAAAAGUGGUGGGAGUCGUCGUUUUGCGUCGCGUGAAGCGACAACCGAGAGCAGUGGAGCUGCCAUAAAGAGCCGCGGAGGGUCGUCGGAGAGGUGUGUGCUUCCUCGCAGCACCAGAGAGAGGCAGUGACGCACCUUGCUGAGGAGCCGGAGGAGAGCUGUGCACAAUACCGCCGUCGCUCUGCAAAAUCAAUCACUCCCUCACCUGUUCAGCUGGUUAAUGAGGCAGACAAGUCAAUCUUGUUUUAUGCAAAAUAUCACUUUACGUUUAUCAUGUCUGAGGGGGGGAUAAAAUAAAUAAUAAUUAGGCUUGCAGUCGUUGUAGAGGUUCUGCAUUGUUAUUGCCAUAAUUCAAAGGCUACUGCAGCCUGGUCUUCAUCAAAUAAUAAACUGAGAAUGAGAUUACCAGCAUCUCAUUUUAAAUGGGAUGUUUGGCAGGGAAUACGCCAUAGAAACCACUUGAAAAACAAAAUAUUUGAUUUGAUUGUACAACAAUGAAUCAGAUCAGUUAAGAUUAAUUAAGCGUGGUACAGCAGCUGAUCAAUAUAUAUAAAAUCCAUAUUUCUCACAGAACACAGAAAACACAAAACAUUGGAACUUUGAAGCAAGGAGCUGAACAUCAUCGAGUAUAUUUUUGAGGCUACAACAGUAAAGGUAGAUUACUGUAGCAAACCCCGACCACCAGAUGGAUUCUGAGUUUUAAGACCUUGUCUGAGAGCUAAUCUGAUCAGCUAACACCACCGGUAAUAAAUACAGAAAAUAUCAGUUCUCAUGCCUACGGAGAGAUAAUGAUAGUCAGUUAGCUAGAACGGUUUGAUUCCCAUCAAUAAACAACGCACCGCCAAAGCCCAGCAAAAUCUGUUUUUCAAGUUUGUUCAUUUUGCAAACAACUCUUCCAUGACCUCAGAUUAUUUUUUCUCGUCAAAUAUUUACGAUUAAAGUUAGAUGUCAUGAGGGGCGAUGACUGUUAUGGGUGAAUGUAGAAAAGCAACAUAUUUUCCACAUUAUAAACUGCCACAAUGUAUGUGACGCAUUCCCUGUUAAUGUCUUCAUUUUGUGUCUUGCCUCUUCCACCGGUCCCCUGUCGGGUCUCCCGUCUGCGACGUCCUAGUUGACACGUCUUCAGCUGCACGCGGACGCACUGCUGGUGUCUUCCGGCGGGACGUCCAUGUGGUUACCCGCACGGCGAAGGCCUGCACGGAUUCACUCUUGAUACACUCAAGAGCGUUUACGUUUAAGUUAAAUCCAGUUUAUUAAAUACCGACAUGCUUCAGAGCCCCAAUUUGCUAUGCAAAUGUUUAUGCAAAUAAUUAUUAGCGGUGAGAGAAAAAUACUAAGCUGAGUAAUUGACUCAUGGUGACGGAAGUGUGAGAAAUAAAUUAAAUUGAUGGAUGAGCUCUCAUUCACACUAAUGAUCGGAAUGAUUGCGUUCUGAAUUUUGGUUAAAUUUCUUCAGGGUAUACCUAGCAAGCACACACAGUUCAGUCCCAUUCAUCCGCUCCAUGCUGUCCAAGUUCUCUCCUGUUACCACCAACGUUGCAGAAUCGUGCACGCUGUGGUUAACUUUUUAACAGUUCACACCGUUCCGUCCAAUCAAUGGCGUGUUUGUGCUCUGGUAUAAUUUCUCACAGCCCACCCGAUCAUAAAUGUACCUCUUGAUCUGCCUCUGCUGAGAGAAAUCAAUAGCCGUCCAGUUUUUUAAAGGUUUUUAUUAUUUCUUAAAUCAGUGAGGUCUGCAGUGCAAAGUUCCCAGAGUGGAGGCAGAAGCAGCGGUAGGGCUUUUAGUCCAUAAAGCCAACAUGCCUCUGAAAGGUGUAUAUGAAGAUAUUGAUCUGUGCUGUGAAAGCAAGAGGGUUUUCAUCUUGUAUUACAGUUUCCACAGCAGUGACUACCUGGUUAUACAUGGUGGGAAUAAAGCACGGGAUGUCCGCUUUACACGUCUCGGUCCGAGGAUUUGUUGCCUCCUCAGAAAAUGCACAUUUGUUGUGGACAAUAUUCUCUGUUUUGUCUUCUUUUAUUGCAAUUGAAAAUCGAUUUUCUGUUUGUUUCUGUAAUUGACAUUGAUAAACAACAAUACACAGUUCAGACAAACCAUCACAGCCACUAGUUUUUUAUCAAGGGUGUAAUUAUAUGAUAUACAAUGCAAAUACAUUUACAAUAUACGUAUCACAUAUUGUUGACUAAGUGGAGUUGAAGAAUAAAUUUGCUGAUUUGACGUUAGAAUUGGGUAAACAAUGAUGGAUGACAAAACAAAUAUUGGCAAAACAUCGACCGAAAAAGAGUUUUUGUAUUUCAUUUUGAGUAUUUAAAUGGCUAAUUUUGGAAACAGCUAUUUGCAUCCAAUGAGCCCCUUUCUUUUCAAAUGCAACGACAUCGGCUCUGGUUUGUCAAGGCAACAGUUAAAGUUAAGUUUUGCUAUGCUCACAACAAACAAUAGAAUAGCAUCUAAAAAAGCCCCAUAGCUGAGCCGGUCAAAGGAAAGACAAACUUAGGGUCUUAAAGGGCAGAUGAUUGAUCACAUUCCAUCUGCAAGUGAGUUUCGUAGACAUUUUUUUUUUCUUUUCCCACAAAGCCAAACAAUUUCACAGUGUUGAGUAGAGACAUACUGUAAAAGCCCAGUAAUGUAAACAGGAAAUUGGACAUUCAGUGCUUGAUAAGUAAUCAGUCGGGUUGUGAAAAUGACUAAACCCGCUGGGAGCUGCUGCAAUGUGCUCUCUCUCCCUCCUGCUCGUUUAAAAUGCAUCUUCAGCAUUUUGUCACUGCUGCGUUAUCCAACAGGAAACUCUUGGUGGGAUAAUACUACAGUACGCGAGAAAAGUAAUCACAGAUUUGAUUUCUUUUUUAUGACGCACAGUUGCAUUUAUUUGAUUUCUUCCCGAGGAUAAAUCCACUCGACCAAAAGCUCCAACCAGAAGAGUCUGAAACCUGGCAGUUUAUUUGCGGAUUGUUGAGAUGAACUCGUUUUAUUUAUUUAUUUUUCUGUGAACAUCCUUCAGUUUGUUACUUUUCUCUCAUAGAUUAGCAUUCAAUUGUGGCUGUUGUAGCUGCUACUGGGGCAUACAUAUGAAAUAGAAUGAAUAAGUAGAGAAUUCAUCUAUGACGUGUCGUCCUUUCUUUUCACGUUGACUGUUGAUUUCUUGUAAAACUCAAAGUUUGUAUUGGUUUGUUCUCCAUAAGAAGCCAUCUCCUUGAACAUUAAUGACCGACUUUAACAAUUGCUCCCUCUCUCCUUAAUCACACGGCAGUGAUCCUUGGUUAACGCUGAUAGAACUUCACUUGAUGGUAAUUUAAUGCACUGUGCAUGUUGAUCUUAAGUGCCUCUCCCUAAUGACUUUUAAAUCGCAUAACUAACUCUCUAGAUAAAUAUGAUGGGCUGUUUUAUAUUAGUUCUGUUUAGUUAAGCACUUACCUUCUACUGUUUCUAAGUAUUGCCUAUUUUAAUCACAUCUUGUUGUCUUAGUAAUCCGUGCCUGCCAUUUUCUCUUUUUGUCUUCAGUUAAUGCCAUAUAUCGUGAGUUUUCUUUACGCCAGCACAUCUGUUAGAGAAGAACCAAAAGUCUCUCGGUUACAGGUCGGAGACAACAACAACAACUUGAGCAGUUUCCCGUUAAGUUGUCUUUUGCCGAGUUGACCGACUGACGGAUCACUCUGCUCUCCGGGCCGCGACAUCCGUCUCUCAGUCUCCUGUGAGCCGCCGUCUAAUUCCCCAGUCAUCUGAAUCCAGACACUCAUCUCGCCGGGGUCGGGAUGAAAGAGCAUCUCGACGGAGCCCAGGUCCCUCCGUGCGUGGCGGCGGAAUAAGGAGAAGGCCUUAGUGUGAAAUGUCAGCGCUCCUCCUGUGAAGCUCGACUCAUCAAAGGAGGAUUAGUGUCGGGCCGAUGGCCUCGCCGGCCGAGACGGGGUAAUCUGAUGCAUCGGAACCCACACGAGACUUGGAUGUGACACUCGGGCAGUGUGUACACUCGCACACACCCACGCACUGAAAUGCAGGCGCCCACACAUGUUUAGACAAAUGUGGAGUUUCACUUCUUCUGGCGCCACUCUGGGUCACAACGCUUUCAUGAAAGAAAGGCGUGUUUCCACUCAAUCCUUCAUUGCUUGAAUCAUUCAUAUAUGGGGAAGUGUUGAUACCCACUGGCAUUCAACAGAAACAAGGGGCUUAUCUCAACUUGAAGCUUGUGAGUUGAGCAUCAAUGACGAUGAUUAAUGAUGUUCAUAUUUGCGGGGUAAAUCUAACCCGAUUCAGGCUGCAUUUGCAUUCGUCGCAGCGCCUGUAACAACAAUGCAGACCUCCUUUAUGUGCACAGACAGUGAGCCAUUGUCCGCUUUGACAGGAAGUAGCGCUGCACACUUUGUUGUUUCAGCAUCGACAUUGCCAUGUGCGCAUGUGCAAUAGUCCAAUUGCAGGACGUGCAAUUUUUAUUUUUUUGCAUCACAAUAUGUUGCAAGAAAGAAUAUGGCAAUUUCUGAAAUAUCUUAGCAGGUAAAACAUUGUUCAAAUAUCCCCAAAGUGUUUUCAUGAAGUGACACAGUAUCACAAAACGUACUAGCAAGUGUAUCUACAUUUCGUCACAGGACUUUUACUACGAGUCGUGAAUGUCGACAGGCUCCACAUCAUGGGCGAUUACAGUACAUAACGCUGAGGAACAUUGAUGUUGAUGUUUACUCCGGCCACAGAACAAAGUUUCAUGCACUGCGUUGCUUCAAUGAGACGCUGGUGGGUGUGGUCUACAUGGAAGCACGCCGUUUUGGCUUCCCACUUCCACGUCCAUCUGUCCCAUCGCUACCGACCGCUGCCAGGAUCCAAAGGCGAAAGCUAUGAGGUCAUUUCGUAACGGAUAGUUUGCAGUUGUCUCGUUUGAAAGCCUCUGAUGACCCAGCUCACAUCUGUGGUUGCACAACGAUGCCGCUGUAUGAGUGAGUCAUCGGGGAGAUUUCAGCGGCACCUUUGCCAGGGUCAUUACGAUAUCGCAGGACAAUGUCCUGUUUAAUAGACUUAAAUUACAGGGACGGUAACGUCUACUUGAAUGUUAGUCCUCCUUUAGAAGCGCCGCUAUUCGUGCAGACAUGUUGAUGGAGUAGGUGUCCCUUUUGAUCAAAAGCCCGAUACCUCAUGAAAAAUGAAAGGUUUUUAUUUCUGUCCGACCACUUCCCGUUUCUCGCCUUCAAAACCCGCUCUCACUACGGCACUCACGGCCUUAAUGGGAGGAGCUGUGCACCGUGUGUCGUUUUGAGCUAAAUCAAGCACUUUGCAACAAAUAAAGUGCAAGACAAAUAGGAACAUCAUUCUUAAUUUACAAAGCUGACAGGGCAAGAAAUGAGAACAAUACCCAGCCCCAGUAGCACGCUCUUCAUUAAGGGCUUUGUCCUCCACACACGACAAAGCCGAUUGUGAUUGUGGCUCCGACAGGUUGCCGAUAAUUACAAGUGAUGUAUCUGUGAAUAUUCCGAGGUGGUCCAAUCUGAAAUGGGAACAGUCGAAGCACGGUAUAGAACUGCAUUAGCAGAACAGGGCUGUAUAUUGUACGAUAUUUCCAUAUCGUAAUGUAAAAAAGACGACGGUCGAUACUCAGGAAUGGGACAGAUCAAAAGAGAAUGUGUUUAUCGAAGGACAUAUUUAUUUUUAUUAGCCUUUUCUGGUAUUGUUGCCCUGCUGAUUUAUUGACUUUAUCUGAAAAUGUAUAAAAAAUAAAGCUUUGCCGGUGCUCAGGCAGAAAUGCGACUCUUGCGCUGGUUUCACUUCCUCCUUAGGAUAGAUUAUGUGUCCUUUUUGUAAAAGAACUAUCAAAAGAAAAAGAAAGCCUUUGCAAAACAGAAGAUCAUAUUACCAAAGGACUGUACGGUGUUUUGAACGUUGGCAUGUCCGACUAAUGUGCUUACUACGUCCCCUAGAGACCAAUGCGUACGAGCCUUCAACUUGCAGUUUAAAUGGUAAACACACUGUACCUGUACUGCAUUUUUCUAGUCUUCUGACCACUGAAAUCACUUUAUGUGCACUAGAAAUCUUCACAUGCAUUCAUGCACUGAUGACAGGAGUACAUGCUGCGUGCUGCCCAUCAGGUUUUUAACUAACAGGCAUACUGCUCACACACCGCAUAGUCAUAGCAACGGGAGCCGGGUGGGGUUUAGGGUCUUAAAGGACUCAUCGCCAAGUAGAGCCGAGAAUCGAAGCACGGACCCCCUGAUUGACGCCCCCGCUGUCCUCUGAGCCACAGUCGUCUACAGUAACUUAACACUUGAAAAAGCAUCUUUUCAGCGCCCUAAAUUAAUCGUUAUCUGCAAGAAAUUAGAAGGCUGCUUUUGUCUACCUGUCAAAAAGCAAGGAAUUAUUGUUUAAAAAUGGUAAGAGUUUAGCUAAUGGGAAAUCUGCCCCAUUAUCAGGAUGAAUGAUAUGUUCUUUUUUUAUGUAGAGUGGAAAGCUUCGCAGCCUUUAUAUGGAUCUGGAAAUCCAGCACUUGGUGAAGGCCUGCAUGAAGACUGUAUUUUUCCUAUGAUCCUCUACCUUGAACAUCCUCUUAAAUAAUAAUUGUCGCCUUUUCCCUAAUUUCCUCAAUCAUUCAAGGUGCUUCAUCUGCAUCUGCACCAAACACACCUAGGAAAUGUUUUGUCUCUGCUUAAAGAGGCUCUUUAGCUGUAACUCACCCGUCCCUGGGCCUUUAUUUAACACUUCACUCUGGCUUGCUAACAGUUGAAAAAAUGUGAUGUACUGCUCUCCUUUCUUCGUCUGUUUUUUUUCCUCAUUGCAAAAUCGCCACAAAAAAAAGUGUUCUGGUUUAUCAAACAGCCUCAGCCUUUUCCCACAGGAGCUGUUUGGCUCUUGGCUGAAAGCGGGGUCUGCUCAAUGUAUAGUGCAAAUGGAUUGAGCUAUAGGGCAAAAAUAGGAACACAUACAGUAUUAUUAUUUUUUUUUGCGUGAGCGCUCUCUCAGAUGGUCGCGGUAAGUAUAGCAGAAUAGGCGGCCUGAAUGCCCCGAAUCAGACAUGUUUACCCAGAUCACAGAGGAAAUGAGGUAAUUCUGUGGAGCUACUAUUGGCACAGUCUUGACAGAGGACAUGUUUCAUUUAUCCUAUCGGCGUCAAGGUCGACGGGGCAAUUACCGCGGCGGGGAAAAGCUAAGGAAGAAGGUGCGCCGCGGCCCCAGCGGUGAAUACACAACAAAUCACAUGCUGGAAACUCUAAAAUGGGUGAUGUAAAGUGUAGCUCAAAGGCAGACUGUUUAAGCAUGCAGGAAGAGAGUGAGGCGUUUAUCACCCCGCCCUGCAGAGUAGCUCUAAAAGCCCGCUGCCAGCUCACCCUUUUCACCUAGUUUACACUCAAGGGACGGGAAGUACAGCUCAUUCUGUCUCCUGGGGGAGACAUCCACCAGCAGGGUAGUCUCAGAUUACGAUAAACAAACUUCAUCACCGGCCCCGUGUUGCACAUGCAUUAUCGUAUUUUCCUAGCUGCUUUAUUAGUAUGAGGAGCUUGACAGGGAUUCUCUCUGCUUUCCCAGCAGGCCUUUCUUACCCUGGCUGUCCUUUCUUCUCUCCUCCCCUCUCGCUGGAAUAGCUGCACCUCAGGGCUGUCCCUUUGGAUCCCUCCACCAUUGCUCUCCUGCUCGCCGCCCCUUCCCGUCCCUUCCCCAUCAUCUCCCCCUCCACCACGUUCACGUUUACUCGUGUCAGCGUGGAUUGGCAUGCACAGCGCGUCUCCCGCUCCGACCCGGCUGCCCGCGUUGCUCUCCCAUUAAAAUUCCUGUGCCACAUCCCCGAUGAGGACAGUGCAGCGGGGUCAGCACCGGCCUCCUGGCCUCCCCCCUCCACACCCCCACCUGCCUGCCUAAUGAAGGGGACACCUGUUGGGUUCAUUAUUAAAGGGGCGGCGAUGACCGAUGGACGGGGGAGUGAUGGAGAGGUGAGAGGCAGGGAGAUGACGAAAUGGAGAGACGGGGAAGACGGGUUUCCAGCAGGAAAAUGAAGAUGUACAGGUUGUUUAUAGCUUUGCUAUAAUCUUACUAGGCAGCAGUGUUUUGCCAGCAUUUAAAGCCCAGUGCGGACUAAUGUCAUAUCCAAAUCCUUAAAUUCACAAUUGAAAUUAUUAAUGAUAAUAAUUUUGCUCUGAGCAUUUAACAAAAACAAAAAUCUGGCUACCUUUUUUCUUUUUUCUUUGCGCAUAGAUCUUCAUUUUAAUGUGUUAUUUCUGUCUUCUCACUUUGUAUUAAUGGAAGCUCAUUCUGAGCUGUCCUUGCCAGAAGAGGACCCAAUUUGCUUUAAGUACCUUAAAAGCAAGGAUGUUUAUUUUGUAUGACACCUUUCAACAACAGGUUAAAUCAAAGUGCUGAGUCGUGAGACGUAAAAGGCAUUAAGACAAGGCAAGCAAUGUGCUCUUUCCUUGUUCCUGUCUGUGAUUCCGUUGGUACAUGGUCAUUUUGGCCGGUAUCUGAGUCAAAAUAAAAACUGAAAAUUGUCAUUUCAAACAUCUAUCUUCUCCUUGUUCAUUUGUAGGCUUCCGGAAGACAAAAAGGGCAAAACCUGAAACCUGUAUGGGCGGUCUCUUUAAUGCCCGUGGGAGAACAGGUGUGUUUACCAUGUGCAUUAAAUAUUUAGCACUAAAAUCCAUAUGUGCCCAAUGCCUGCCUCUGCAUUAAUCAACCCCUUGCCAGAAGAACCAUUAAUUAUACCGGGAUUAUCAUAUAGCCAUCCAGAAGAGCCACGUAUUAGUGUGAAGAGAAAUUAGCACAUAGAUACUUUUCUUUUUUUUGUUUUAAAGGGGAAUAAUAGAAUCCCUUCAGCUGCCUGAAGCACAUCCGUUCUGCAUUAGUCCGCCUGCUGCAGAUGCUCUCGGUAAAGUAUGUGGGGUAUUAUGCACGGCUCUUACCAAAGUCCUCCGGGUCCUAACCCGGCUUCCAGAAAUCGUGUGCACGUUCACGCGUCGUACGCCUUCCCAGGUUUUGGGAUAUUCAUGCUGGUAUCUGCCGAGCGCUCCGCCAUAUGUCUCUCAGGUGUCCCUGAGACAAACAAAAACCAGACCAAGGUUUAAUGCAAAUUACAGACCAUGAUCAGCCGAGCGUAACAGCGUAAAUAUUUAUUGUGAUCGGAACUGCUGUACCGUGUCUUUGAAGGGAGGGGCCGUCCCGAGGAUCGGGGGGGGGGAGGCCCGUGAGUGAUGGGAUGCUGGUGUGCAUUACUGUGAAACGGGCCCGGUUGUUUAUUGUGUUUUUCAUGCAGCGUGACUGGGACCAUUAGUUUCUGAUCGCUGCUAAAAGGCAUUCCGCAAGUCCUACCAAAUAAAAAAGAAUGUUGACCAAAUAACUUAAGCCGGAUAUUGGAUAGUUGCGCUCACCGUGUUAUAGGAGAAAAUGGGGGUUAGGGCGGGGGGGCAUAGAAGGCACGUCCCUCCAUUGGGAAGCACCUUUCUUGCAGCUUGUUUGUGAGAAAUAAGACUGCUUGUAUUGGCAUAAUGGAGCUUCCCAACAGAUCUGAUGAGGCUCCGAUGUUUACACUCAAUCAUGGACGUAAUGUGCUGCUCUGAGUGUUUUCAGGAGAAGUAAGUGGCUGGAAUUCCAAGUCAUAUAGUAUAUUAUACUCACAAGAGGUAAACUGUCACAAUCACCACAUGAUUCAACUGAAAUAAUAAAUAAUACAAAGACGUUUGUUCAGAUAAAGCACUUGUUAUCGCUAAACGCGAAAUGCCCGCGUCUAAUCUAGGUCAUGAUUGGAUGCCUCAUCCCUGUGCAGAAAGUAAAUCCAGCCAACGAUCGUGGAAAGGCCUUAUCCCACUGUUUACAGCAGGGCCGGGUCAAUAUCCACAGAGGCGCUCAAAUAAACAAACCGUAAAUGCUGGAGCUUCUGCUGGCCUCACAGAUUAUGGCUGUAACAAUGAUUCAUUUUAACAACCUGGGCUAAUUGUCUCCGAAACUUUAGUUACCAGCAAAUAUGAUCCAGCCCUGGGCGCUUUUCUCUUUAUUAACGAAGAAUGAUGAGCGUUACUCCCCCCCCCCCCCCCCCCCCCGCCCCCCACCCAUUUCUUUCAAAUCCGUCGGAGACGGAGCGAGAGCACAGCGGACGGCCGGACGUGAGCCCGGCAAUGAAGAGAGAGCCCGUCUGUCUGUCUGGGAGGAAGCGUGCGAGGACGAAAGGAAGAAACAGAGACUUGUGUUUGGCUUGAAAUCAAAUCCGAGCCUGCUUGUGUUUCCGCAUGGGCUUCGCAUCUGUUUUGUCACUCGGGUCAGUCGUCGGCACAUCUCAAACCGUUUGGGAUUCGUGGCACGGAGCCUGGGCAUUUCUGUCUUUCUUAUAAAGAUAUUGUCCUCUUCCUCCUUCCUUCUUAUCUCUGUUUACCCUCUCCAUCCCUCUCCUCUCCAUCCCUCCCCCUCCUCCCGUGCGCCUGCCUGCAGAAAAGCAGCUCGGCCUGGAGCCGUGUCUGUGAUUCGCCCUCAAUCUUGGCGUGCGCCUCGAACGCCACCAGAGGCUGGAGACGAGACCUCUCCACAGGUGGCGGCGCCAGAAGCACCCCUCCCGCGCCCCGCCCCCACCCCUUCGAUCUACAUCGCCUCUCCCUGAUCCCUUCAUGCCCGUAGUGGGAUCGCAAACCUUGCGAAAAUUGAUUUCAUUGUAUUGUUUCUUUUAUUUCCGGUGUCUGGCAUGUUCGGCCCCUCUGCUUUUCUCGUCCUCCUCCGUGGUUUGCGCGAGGAAUGCACGGCCGCUUGGUAUGGCCAGUGCGGAUCGGGGUGCGAGAUCAGUAUUGUUAUCACACUCCCCCUUUACCGAGGUGCAAAGAGACCGCGACCUUUCACGUAAUCACUCUAACCUACUCGCUCUCUGACACGGGCGUUCUCUCCGCCUGCAGGAACCUCGGGGGAGUCGAUACAUGUAAUGACUUGUUAGCGCGGCCGGACUGAAUCCGUGUUUUGGGUCGCCAACGUAGAACUCCAACCAACCCCCCCCCUCCCUUUGACCCUUCCAUUGUUUUGAAGGGGGGCCUUGUUCAUCCAGUCAUGUCCUUUUGUUUAUUAUAUUGAAUUUGUUGAUCAAUUCAAUACAAACUUCUAUUGUUUCACGAAGGAAUGCCUUGGGAAGCCAUACGGUCUUUUGAUAAAAGCGCCGCUAGGCCGAGGUAGUGCGCGUGCACAGCGGUGUGUGCUUCCACUCCUGCGCUCGGCCGCGUUUGAAAGGAAUGUGCUAGAGACGGCCGUCGAAGCGCCACAGCUCACAAAGGGAAGGGAGAGAAGAAAAGUUCAAGCCGGACAGAUACAAGUCCUCGCUGCUGUGUGUACCACCACCUCCCGCCUCAUCAAAGGAAGCAUUAUAGACAAGAGCUGGCCCCGAAAUAAAAGCUCAGAGAGCUCUUAGGUUAUCACUUCAUUAAUUGGCUUCAUUCAAAAGGAGGGGACAGUGUGAAUGUGCAUUCCCAUCCAAGAUUUAAUUAAGUUGGAUCACCUCAGGGUAUUGUGAGUCCACCUCUCUUAAAUUACCAUAUUGGGCUAUUUUACUAUUUCUUUAUUUUUUGGGCUUUCUCCCACCCUGCUCUCUCUCCCUUGAUCGUUGGUCUUUAAUCUCUGAAUCUUUAUCUUUGUGAAAACACAGAGAGCCUCUCUGGAAUGAUUUUUAACCUAAUAGAACGUAAUGAAAUCGGGAAAUUAAUUGAAUCCACAUCUUGUUCAUGACCCCUUGGUUUAGAAACCCAACUAGAACUACAAAGCAAAUGCUUGCUCAACUAUGUUGAGGUUAGGGAUGCGGUAAUAUUUCAAACAAAGCUUGGGUUUGAUGGUGUGACAUCACACUACAUAGAGAUUAUUAUUUUUGACAUACUUGUUCUGCACCGUCAUCAUCACGCUCCGUUGUCCGACCGCGUGUACUCCUGAAGAAAUAACUGACAACCUCAACACCCCAAUCUGCCUCUGAGGGCUUUAAACAUGAAAUGUAGUGGAUGGGCCAUUGAAUGCUGAAGUCUUCUGGAGGCCUACGGGAGGAAACCGGAGCACAUUAGAAGUGCUGAUGAAUCCAAUCAGCCUGUUCGCAGGCGUCCAACACGAGAUAUGCCGGUGCAAUAAGCAGCGCUACUCAAGGGCUUAAUUAGAAGGAUGCUUGCGUAUUGUUUGUUUUUCAGGCAUUAGUAAAGUCUGUGUGCCCUGAUAAUGGAAUUGGCUGGGAAAUGGAAUCGUUAUGCCCUGCCUUCAUGCUGCUAGGCCUGAUACCGCUUGUCAACGCCAUUGUUUCCUCAGCCUCCCGCGGAGCCCCUAUCGAUGUCAGCGGAGGGAGACGGCUCCGCAGCAGCCAGCCAACCCCUCAGCCGGGUUCGACUGUCGGCUAACAAGGCCCUCGAUGCUGGAGAUGAGGCUCUUGUGUUAGAAUCCUCCUCUAAUUAGCAGCUGCAGCCCCCCGCCCCCCCCUGCCCCUCAUCUCUCCUCCACCCGACAGUCUCGCACAUCAAGUCAUCCCAUCACCGCAUGUACGCAAACGGUUUCUCUCCUGCUCUCUCGGUGUGCAUCGCGCUGCAGCUCCAUGACCUCCACUUCCCGACCUUUGGCCUGGCUCACGAGUGGCCGGCUAGUCCGACCAGUGUGUGAGGUUAUGCUGUGUAAUGACUCGCGUAAACAGCUGAACAAAUCAGGGUGAUGAGGGUAAAACAUUUUUGAUAUUGCUGAUACAAGCUAAAUGCAAUCAUAUGUUGCUGCAUGCAAUACAACUCUGGGUUUCACUGUUAUGAAACAAUUUUUCAUUACAGCAUUUGUUUAAUUGGUUGUCAUGUAUGUGGUGUACCAAAGAUUAAUCAUUUUACCCUGUGCUCCAUUACCAACAUGCGUCACCACCACCGGACUGUUUACGUUAAAUUAAAGAACGUCGCCCAGCGACUCGGAGCUGCGUUACUGCGACUUUUUAAAGUUCAAGCACACUGAAACCAAAUUAAAUGUCUCAACAGCUGCCAUUGAUCGUGGGCUGUUUUUUUUUCCAUUGACAGUUCAUGCCAGGUUAGUUAGAAAGCCAACCAGCCAAAACCCACCCGCUUGGUACGGAAAUACGGGAAGCUCAGGAAUUCUUUCACUGGGCGAGGCAGGAAUUCAAUCAGUCGCACUACGGGGCUAGGAAACCGGGCAUCCGACACAGUUCUGCUUCAGCACUUUUCAAUUUGGGCUUGGCCUGCCUCAGCCUCCGGCCUGUAGCAUAUCAUUAAUGAAAGUCACAUUAGGCGUCCGUGACAUCUGUAGUCAUCCCGCUCAACCGGCAGGAGGUUUCAGGGCUGUAACGGGCGGUUGACGUUCACGGCCGCCACGCCGGCCUCCUGGUCCUAGACUCCACUUCAGUGUGGCUUACUCUUCCUCCGCGGCUGUGGACGUCCCGACCGCGUUCUGCUCACGAAACCUGAUGGACUACAGCGCGUGCUGGACGUCCCUCAUUCUCUGUGUCUUUCGAAUUGGCCCGGGGAUUAUUGACUUUCUCUGAAACAUUUUAUUAGAUAAAAAUAAAGUGCUGCCCUUUCCAUUGUCCUCUCCCCUGACCGAGCCCCUUUCCCCGCCGCCAUCGCUUAAAUGAUUCACAAUGUUUGUGCUGCUCUCCUUGUUGCUCAAGCGCUUCCCCCGUGUGGCGUGGCAGAGGUCGGGGAUUCUUUCACUCAUGCAGCAAGGAUUAGAUGGAUGUCUCGGUUUGCCUUACACGGUGACCUUAAAUCCUGAAAUCCUGCUCUCUCAGACCUUUUGCCAUUCAGGGGGAGCUGGUUGCCAACGCGUGAGGUUCUGUGCCUCCGACGGACGGCCUCGUGGUAAACGCGCCUCCCAUCGGUGCCAGGUAAUGCACUCUCUGGCUUUGCUGUGUUUUUAAGUGAUAUGGCCGCACAAGGUCACACUUCUAGAGCAGAGAGCACACGCUGCAUCUUUGGAUUGUGUUUCUGACGCGUGUCCCAAAUCCCUUGUCAAAUAGCUGCUGACUUGUCAAGCAGUCGUUCACAUAUACCAUCACUGUAGGGGGGAAGCAAAAGGCCACACUGUGCGAUGGUUAUGUUAAAGUGCAUUCUACCAAGCAGUGCAGUUCUGUUUUUUCCACAUCAGGACGAUUCGUUUCACGUUUGCCAUCAUCAAGGUUCGAGGUUAUAAAAGUUUUGGAGCGGACGCCAGAAAGGGAAGUUAAAACACUGCAGGUUGUUUGUUCAGAGAGAUUAAUCCGUGGGAUGAAAUAAGACGUGGUAUUUCAAACCCUACUCUGUCCCCUGAUAUAUAAGCCAAACCCAUCUCACUUGUCUCCGCCAUAGCAGGAUUCAUAACUAAGCAUCAUCUUUAAGGACAAUUUACUUGACACAGAUCUUUAAAAAAAACAGAUUUUCCCAUUGAAUAUAAUGUCAUGGCGGCUCCACGUGAUUAGAUGGGAAUCUUGCCUUCACUGGGUGCGGGUGGAAACACAGCUUUGAAUAAAGGAAGUGAGCCGUAUGCCGUGUGCAGUGGAGGCACAGCUCAUGUGUAUCCAUGAAACCUCUCCUCGUUUUUUGAUGCCUCACUGUUUGUCACUUGUCAAAUUCUUUUGGCUCAGAUUAACCUGUCACAUCGACAGCAAAACUCACUACAAGGGCUCUUUGUUUCUCCCGGACCCUUCGCUUGACUAUGUUGUCUAGAUCAUGUCACGUCUCUUCGCCCGUGGCUCCAUUUCCAUGCCCGAGCUGUCAAAAGAAAUCGCUCUCACACAUCUGCCUGAGAGAGACGGGAUGUGCUGAGAACGGUCCGAGUGUGCCUUGUGGUCUGCUAUGGAUGAUACCGGGAAACGGAAAAACACAGAGACCCAGAAGGGUUUGCAGUCUUAUUGCAAUAUGUAUUGUUCCUUGCUGCACAAACACAUCCCUGCCAUGUAUGUGUACAAUGAGUAAUUAAACCCAGUCUGGCAGCGCACUACCUUGCUUUCUCACAGCUUUAGAGGCCCUAUAAAACAGGGUGUGGAGCUGUGGAAAGUGUAGUCCUCCCUCUGCAGUUGCCUCCAUGGCCUCUCUGCGCCCCGGAGGACACAUGCUGCAGUGGGAGGAUUUGUGUUGUACAGUGCAGUGAAAUGCACCUCGCCAGGGAAAACUUGGCCCACCACACAUAAACCCAAACCUCAAAUGAUAGGUUCAUUCCACCCAUGAACUCAAGGAAGACUCGCGGUGUGGAUUCGGAAGCCCUCGCUGCUUUUCUGACGGAAUUAGUGAGAUUGAUGGCUCGGACGAGCAUUAAUCAUGAAGUUUCUGAGCUGACUCAGUGUUCCUGGGGGUUUUCUGAUUUAUGGUUAGUUUGGCCGCUUGCUGGCAAAAUGCACCAAAUCAUUUGGACACUUGAGAAAUGACGACAGGAGCAAAAAGUGAUGUUCAUUAGCUGGCACAUUAUUCUUUUCAACAUUGCACGACAUGAUGUGCCAACUGGAUCAUACCAGGGCUGUCAAAUUAACGCGUUAAUCUGAGAUUAUUGUGAUCGAGAUGAAUGCGCUAAAAUAUUUUAACGCAGUCAACGCACCUUUGUUGACACAAAGCCACCGCUAGCUGCAGUCAGUUAGAUCGGAGAGACCGAGACAGUAGUUGAAGGUGGAGAGAGCUUUUUGAAUUGGUAAAAGUAAAACAAACAGACAAACUGUUGCACCGUGUUGCACUGUUGCGGAUCUAGAGAGCCAUUGAUGGACAAUCCAAAUGCUCCCAAUCUGGUAUUGGCACUUUUAAACAUGACAAAUUGUCUUCGGUUGUAAACUUUUUCGCACGUGUUUUAAAAAAGCUUGUCCCUGCCUUCGCGACCUCUCCGUGAGCAGCAAACAUUCCCGUUGCCAUACAUCACCGCGGGGCUGGCGCACGAGUGCUUCCUCUUUAUUAGCUUAAUUAAUCACCUCGGCUACCUCCUCGCAUUGGGGCUUUCAACUGCGUCUUCCAGAAACUGUUUGUUUGGAUAGCAGCUUUACAGCUAAGGGAGAAGAAGGGACCACGGACCAUCAAUCUCCACCAGCACUUCUAAUUGGCUACGGGGGUUUGACAGCAGAAUCUCUCCCUUGCGGACCAAUAGUGCACAAAAAAGGAGAAGCGGCGUUAUCUGACAGCUGCUGGUGCGUUGGUGUCAGAGUACAGUGCUAUCAAAACAGUGACAGUGUGGAUGUCUUGCUUUCUCAGGGGACCAAGAGUCCCUGUUCUGACAUGUCCCCGUGUCAGCAGACCAGAGGAGGGCUGGAAUGUGCUCAUGACUCUACACGCGUACCCGGUUAUGCUCCGCCGGGAUGCAGAGUGGCAGGAUCGCUCUUUUUUUUUCGUUUUUUGGGAGGGGGGGCAAAGCAGGGGCCAGCUCUGUGAAUGAGGAACCUGAGUGAGUGUGUGUGUGUGUGUGUGUGUGUGUGUGAUGAAGCCAGAUCCGUGGUGGGUCGAGUUUACCGGUCGUCGCUCCUUCACAUCGGAUGGACGCGACAUCUCGGCCUCCGUGAUCAAUGAACUUCCCCGAUUCAUAGGCAGGUGUUUGUUUGGUACGCAAACCUUUACUGAGAAGGUCUGAUUUGAAAGAGUUACUCGGGGGGCAAUGUUCCAUUUCCUUUAUGGAUUUAUAUUUUCAUGUAAUGGUUUUAGAGGGAGAGAGAAAGUCACGUUGGCCCAGUUUUGGGGCGGUGAAGGCGAUCGGGAGCAGAGGAGAAGUUAACAUGGAAGUUAUCUACCAUGACACCAAUGCACUAAUUAAGAACAUCUCUGAAGAGCAUAACGUUCCUAGUGGUGCUUUUACAUGACUCUUUGUGGAGAAAAGCUGUCGAUUAAAUCAACUAUAUCACGCCUCAAGCUCUCAAAAUGGUGCCAAAAGUAUUAUUUUCUCUAAAAUGUAGCUUAUGAAAGCGACUACUUACAGGAAGUUUCAGAUGAACAUUUAAUAUCCAGGAAAUCACAUUCACAUGUGGUUGAGAAUGAGAUGCGGAACUCUAAAUGUGCCAAUGAAGUUCAGUGUGAGGUGUGGAAACACGGCGCCUUGCUCUCCAAAAUCCGGAUAAUUAUAAUUCAAACAAAAGACGUUUCGUGUCAGGUUUUGAGUAUUUUCCAUCCACGCGUUGAAAAAAGAAAAGGACUCCAAACAUUGUCUUGUGGCUGGCCAUUGGGUGUCCUUCCCAGGCAUUUGAGUUCAGUCUCACUCGAGUGUUCGCUCAGGCUAAGCCUCACGGUCACUCACCCGCCAUUCACCCAAGGCCGCGGAGCGAAGCAAGAAAGAAGGGGUUCACGCGUGUCCUCUGCAAAUAUGAAUUUCCUUCACGAGAUCAUGAGGUUGAUUCAACUUCGGGGAAAACAUUCAUUCACCUUUGCUCUGCCGUAAUCAUUUGUUCUUCUCGUGGAAAUCAAAACAAAGCCCAAGGUUUAAUAACGAUGUGCUUGCUCACAGCGGUGCAUCCUCAGCGUUUCAGCAGGUCCUAUUGCGGGAAGCGGCCUCUUAUGGGAAACUGUGCUCUGGCACACAGUUUUUAUGCGAGCGGCGAGAGAAGACUUUAUUGAAUUUAAAGAAAACUGAUAGCAUCGCAUGGAGACACUGUGCAGAGAAAGUAGACUUUUAUCAAGAAGUGUUGUUAUUGGAAGACUGCAUUGGCCGCAGACUUGGUUGCAACUUGGUUUGUUUUCUUCCCGUCUAAUUCAUCAUUUCCAGCCUCAGCGGACACAACACACCCCAAAAAAGAGGUUUUAGGUCUGAGAGGAGAAAAGAGGAGGACUGUGCAGAGGACAAUGGCGUAUUCUGUCCAUCUCUGAACCCUGACCCUUUUGGGGGUUGUCAGUCAUAUGAGUAACGUAACUUUUGUUUCCAUUUUGGGGCGUAAUCUUUCUUCUUGAGUGUGCGUCAUGCUCCGCCGCCUUUGUUCUGUUCCAAGGAGGAACGACAGAUGCCCAUUGGACGAAGCAGGCACAAAACAAUCAAUUAUUUAGCCCCUCUUCUUUCACCUUCUGUUGAAGUCAACGCGUUUUUCUUUGUACCUGCACUGCUGCCGUCACACCUGACAGAUGUGCACGUUUUGAAGGUGGUGUCAGGUUUCCUCGAGGUGGAAAGUGGGUGCAGGCCCAGAAAGAGCAGCAGCAGUAGGCAGCUGGAGUCCACGUCACCCAGGGAGACAAACCAGUGGCCCACACUGCAAAAGAAGAGAGAGAGGAAGACACAAUGCAAAGUCUCUCUCUUUCCCCCCGAGACAGAGGACGCCAUGGAAGACUCUGCGUCACUUCAAAGCCAUGUUCGUCUCCUCUUACUCCCCUUCUCCUCUUUACGGCAUCUUGCUCCGGGCCGCCGGCGACGGAAACACAGACAAACUGAAGUGUCCCGCCGCGGGUCGCACUGUGUAGAUACAUGUGCUCCCUGUGGUGCCGCAAACCAUUUCCUUGUCAUUUUACACGGCUUAUACGUAGGAGCCGCGGCCGUACGAUUACCAUCACAAAUCUACGUCGAGAUCAAAUAUCUCUUCAUCACGAGCGUGACCACUUUUUCAGUGGCGCAGCUCCAGGGUCACUUGAAUGUUCUCCUACUCCCGCCUGAAACAACUGUCCCAACACGCAGUUAGUCUAUUCAAUGUGUUUAUCGUGUCAAAUCGCCAGUUAGAGAAAUUCCACUUGGCUGACUGGUUGGUUAAUCUUCUGUUAAGAUGUCACUCUUUUAUUGUAGCUGUUGCGCGUUUAUAGCCAUUUAUUGUAAAUUGCAGUAGAAGUAAAUUUGGCCAUGAGAAAGGUUUGUUUUCCAAACACUUCUCGCCGCUUCCAGUAAUUUGCACUUUAAAAUAACAAGACCCGCUGCGAGUCGGCUGUUAAAAUCCAGCACGCAACAAUUAACCGGUUAAACAAAUGUCAGUGAUUGUUAUUGAUUUAGUGUUAAUUAAGAGCACCGAACACAUGUUGUUCUGCACUCAACUACCACAGCUUCCUCUGGCCGCACACACCGCCGCUCACUUAGCCAUCAUGCGUGUCUAUCCCUGCGCUGUGUGGGUGUUUUAAUGCCGCCGAGGUCCAUAACAGCAGCCCGGAUUUAGUGUGCUGGACUCGCAGGCCUCGGGCAAUCCGAGGCAUCCAUCAUCCCCGCAGUUUAGACGGGGAUGGAAAGCGGGAGAGAGAGAGAGAGACGGAGGGAGACAGCGAUGGCGAACAGACAAAGUGACAGAGAGGUGGGUGUAUAAAACGCAUCGGCCUACGUAAGGAGAGGACUGAAAUGUCAGCGUGAAAGUGUUCGUCUGGAGGUGUGAUCCACUCAGACCUGCCCCAGUGGGUAAACAGCUUUAAUCAUAGUUGCGCUGUAGAUAUUAACAGUCCGUCUCUAUAUGGCUGUUAACGGGUUGAAGUGCAGACCAUUAAAUCCUGAAGUGUUUCAAAUCAUUUGUCAGGUGUUCUUAGUGUUUCCAAGUCUUUUUUUUUUUUUCAUUAUCGCUAAACGACUGAAACUCAACCCCUCUGCCUCAUUUGAAAAAGUUACUCCGAUGUCCCUGGUGGACAAGCGCUCAUAUAAAAAAGCUGUACAACUAUAAAUUAUAUUUUCUACUUUGGGUAACUGGACAAAAACAAACCCCUUUCCUAAAGUAAUUUCAUAGCCAACAUCAGUGCUUAUCUUAACUAUCAGAUAUGUAUUACUUUAACCGUUCAUAUACCAGUUUCUUUGCGUAUUACCACCUUUUUUUCAAAUCAGUAAAAGGGUUUUAAUGGGUUUAAAUGUUUAACAAUUCUGCCUACACAGUUCGUUAUCUAUUUAUAGGACGGAUUGAAAAUAAACAUGUGGGAUAUGUGUUGGAAACAUAUUUCUAAAAGUAUCAUUUUUGCUCAAUAUGACAAUGGAAUUUGAUCACCUUCAUGUCCCCCCAGAGGAGCCCGCUGUAGAAGUUCUGACCUGCUGGAUGGAGGAAGGUCAGUGGGAGAGAGAGCACGCAGUGCUUUGGGCGUAUUUCCUGCCUGGUGUGGGUGUUAUGAAAAAUCAGGCCCCUUCAGGAAAGGGAGCUUGC